This 431-nucleotide ribosomal RNA is filed under the name uncultured bacterium. RNAcentral's name for it is "partial 16S ribosomal RNA". It matches the Rfam family "Bacterial small subunit ribosomal RNA", at positions 29 to 507 of the family's 1533-position model. The record is from RNAcentral.
AACGAACGCUGGCGGCAUGCCUAACACAUGCAAGUCGAGCGCUCCGCAACGGGAGCUGCAGGCGGACGAGUAACGCGUGCGUACGUACCUUUUCGUUCGGUCCAAAUACCAGAUACUGGCGCUUAUUCCUGCUGAGCCCUAUCGCGGAAAGAUUUAUCUCCGAACGAUCGGUCCGCGUCGGAUUAGGUAGGUGGUGGGGUAAAGGCUCACCAAGGCGACGAUCAGUAGCUGGUCUGAGAGGAUGAUCAGCCACACUGGGACUGAGACACGGCCCAGACUCCUACGGGAGGCAGCAGUGGGGAAUAUUGGACAAUGGGCGCAAGCCUGAUCCAGCAAUGCCGCGUGAGUGAUGAAGGCCUUAGGGUUGUAAAGCUCUUUUGUCCGGGAAGAUAAUGACUGUACCGGAAGAAUAAGCCCCGGCUAACUCCGUG